CCACAGAGGAACUCUCAUUUUCUGCUGAGACCCAGCUCACUUUGUGGAUGACCUUCAAGAUGCCCAGGUGCAAGAACAAGAUGGGUUCAUCAGCACAGCCGGCAGCAGCUGACCACCAAACUUCAAAGGAAAUAUUCUCCAAUCGCUCCUUCCAGAUCCAUCUGGCAGCCUGAGCCUGGCCUCAGCUCAAGUCCAUGAUAAAUGUUCCUUUAAUGCAGA
Molecule: long non-coding RNA, 219 nt
Filed under: Cercocebus atys (sooty mangabey)
Lineage: Eukaryota; Metazoa; Chordata; Mammalia; Primates; Cercopithecidae
Description: lncRNA (ENSCATG00000045729.1)
Source: RNAcentral